This 1890-nucleotide ribosomal RNA is filed under the name metagenome. RNAcentral describes it as "bacterial LSU rRNA". It matches the Rfam family "Bacterial large subunit ribosomal RNA", at positions 948 to 2925 of the family's 2925-position model. The record is from RNAcentral.
AUCAAACUUCGAAUGCCGGAUAAAUGGUGCACAGCAGUCAGACAGUGUGAGAUAAGUUUCAUUGUCAAAAGGGAAACAGCCCAGACCUACAGCUAAGGUCCCAAAUGUAUGCUAAGUGGAAAACGAUGUGGAAUUGCGAAAACAACCAGGAUGUUGGCUCAGAAGCAGCCACACAUUAAAAGAGUGCGUAAUAGCUCACUGGUCGAGUGACUCUGCGCGGAAAAUGUAACGGGGCUAAGCAUACAACCGAAGCUUAGGAUUGUCUAAAGACAGUGGUAGGGGAGCGUUCUGUACGGGGCGAAGUCGCAGCGGGAGCAGCGGUGGACUGUACAGAAGUGAGAAUGCCGGAAUGAGUAGCGAGAAUUAUGUGGGAAUCAUAAUGGCCGAAAAUCUAAGGUUUCUUGGGGAAGGUUCGUCCGCCCAAGGUAAGUCGGGAGCUAAGCUCAGGCCGAGAGGCGUAGGCGAUGCACAUACGGUAGAAAUUCCGUAACCACCGAAACUUAAACAGAGGGACACUUCGAAAUAGCGGAACCCGGGCGUUGGUUGACCCGGGCGAAAGGGAGCGAAAUUAGAGUAGCGAAGUCCGCGAUGUUCGGAGGCGAGAAAAGCUCUGAGGUAUGCUAAGGUGCCCGUACCGCAAACCGACACAGGUAGAUGAGGAGAGAAUCCUAAGGCCAACGGGAGAAGGGUUGUUAAGGAACUCGGCAAAUUGACCCCGUAACUUCGGGAGAAGGGGUGCUCCAGAGAUGGAGCCGCAGAGAAUCGGCCCAAGCAACUGUUUACCAAAAACACAGGUUUGUGCUAAAUCGAAAGAUGACGUAUACGAGCUGACGCCUGCCCGGUGCUGGAAGGUUAAGAGGAGAUGUGCAAGCAUUGAAUCGAAGCCCCAGUGAACGGCGGCCGUAACUAUAACGGUCCUAAGGUAGCGAAAUUCCUUGUCAGGUAAGUUCUGACCCGCACGAAAGGUGUAACGAUUUGGGCGCUGUCUCGGCAGCAGACUCGGUGAAAUCUUAGUACCUGUGAAAAUGCAGGUUACCCGCAACUAGACGGAAAGACCCCAUGGAGCUUUACUGCAGCCUGAUAUUGAAUUCUGGUCAUACAUGUACAGGAUAGGUGGGAGACAAAGAGACGUGCACGCCAGUGUACGAGGAGUCGACGUUGGGAUACCACUCUUGUGUGACCGGGGUUCUAACCUGGUAUCGAGAACAGGUACGGGGAGAGUGUCAGGUGGGCAGUUUGACUGGGGCGGUCGCCUCCCAAAGAGUAACGGAGGCGCCCAAAGGUACGCUCAGAUUGGAUGGAAACCAAUCGUCGAGUGCAAUUGCAGAAGCGUGCUUGACUGUGAGACAAACAAGUCGAACAGGGACGAAAGUCGGGAAUAGUGAUCCGGCGGUGCCGAAUGGAAGGGCCGUCGCUCAACGGAUAAAAGCUACCCUGGGGAUAACAGGCUGAUCUCCCCCAAGAGUUCACAUCGACGGGGAGGUUUGGCACCUCGAUGUCGGCUCAUCGCAUCCUGGAGCUGAAGUCGGUUCCAAGGGUUGGGCUGUUCGCCCAUUAAAGCGGUACGCGAGCUGGGUUCAGAACGUCGUGAGACAGUUCGGUCCCUAUCUGUUGUGGGCGAAGGAGAUCUGCGGAGAGCUGUCCUCAGUACGAGAGGACCGGGAUGGACCUACCGCUGGUGCACCGGUUGUUCCGCCAGGGGCAUAGCCGGGUAGCUAAGUAGGGAAAGGAUAAGCGCUGAAAGCAUCUAAGCACGAAGCCUACUCCAAGAUGAGAUCUCCCAUUCGCAAGAAGUAAGACCCCUUAAAGACGAUAAGGUAGAUAGGCCAGGGAUGGAAGUGCAGUGAUGUACGGAGUUGACUGGUACUAAUCGGUCGAGGACUUAAUCAG